UGCAGUCGAGCGCACUCUUCGGAAGUGAGCGGCGGACGGGUUAGUAACGCGUGGGAACGUGCCCUUCUCUAAGGAAUAGCCUCUGGAAACGGAGAGUAAUACCUUAUACGCCCUUCGGGGGAAAGAUUUAUCGGAGAAGGAUCGGCCCGCGUUAGAUUAGAUAGUUGGUGGGGUAAUGGCCUACCAAGUCUACGAUCUAUAGCUGGUUUGAGAGGAUGAUCAGCAACACUGGGACUGAGACACGGCCCAGACUUCUACGGAGGGCAGCAGUGGGGAAUCUUGGACAAUGGGCGCAAGCCUGAUCCAGCCAUGCCGCGUGAGUGAUGAAGGCCUUAGGGUCGUAAAGCUCUUUCACCAGGGAUGAUAAUGACAGUACCUGGAAAAGAAACCCCGGCUAACUCCGUGCCAGCAGCCGCGGUAAUACGGAGGGGGUUAGCGUUGUUCGGAAUUACUGGGCGUAAAGCGCACGUAGGCGGACUAAUCAGUCAGAGGUGAAAUCCCAGGGCUCAACCCUGGAAUUGCCUUUGAUACUGUUAGUCUAGAGUUCGAGAGAGGUGAGUGGAAUUCCGAGUGUAGAGGUGAAAUUCGUAGAUAUUCGGAGGAACACCAGUGGCGAAGGCGGCUCACUGGCUCGAUACUGACGCUGAGGUGCGAAAGUGUGGGGAGCAAACAGGAUUAGAUACCCUGGUAGUCCACACCGUAAACGAUGAAUGCCAGUCGUCGGGUAGUAUACUAUUCGGU
RNAcentral lists this ribosomal RNA (741 nucleotides) under uncultured bacterium. RNAcentral's name for it is "bacterial SSU rRNA". It matches the Rfam family "Bacterial small subunit ribosomal RNA", at positions 56 to 844 of the family's 1533-position model. The record is from RNAcentral.